UACAAUUCCCAGGAGCCUCCACGCCGCAGACUUCCGGCCCCGCCAUGUUGAGGGUUUGGGUUCGCCUGAGGCCCUUGGCAGGAUGGUGGCCGCUCGGCUAGUGGUGGGGCUCUCGCCUCUGGCCUCCACUCGCGUUCUCUCUCCCGGCCUCCCCGGCGACGGUGGACGCGUCCUGGGGCGACGCCGGCGCAGCCUCCACACACACACCUUCCCGAGCUACAGGUCUUCCCCGUUGGGUGACGCGGGGUGAGGGGAGCGCGGCCGCUUUCCCCGAGAGCAACGAGCACCCGGGUUCCCCACCCACUUUCCUCCCCCGCCUCCACAUUCUUCCCCUGUCUCCUUACGGCUUUGUCUUCCCUUCUCGGAAUUUCCUGACUACACACUUCGGGUCGGCGGCGGUCUCCACGGACGUCACGGGCGUCGCCCGUUGCUGGCGCGCGAUGCGAGGAGUGAGUCAGCUCGGGGUCAGGAGUCGCCCAGUGCCGGGUGGGGCCGCCCCGCCACCCCAGACUGGCCUUGGGCGCUCCAGGGUUGAAAAACAGAGCCUGUCUGGGUUUGGAUGUCAGGAACUCUGCCGAUGUUUUUGGUGCUGGGAGUCCAGUGUAUCCGCCCUCUCCCUGCUGUAGCAGCCCUUCAGGCGGACACUGGUUCUGCAGUUGUCAUAAAGCACCUACUGGGUGCUCUGCAGUACGUGAGAUGGCCACAAGCCUCUAAACCCAUGGGUAAAUGUCAUCCUAGGCACCUCAGUCCUCUAACCGUCUCAUCUCUUGGACCACUCCCCAAAACCUCUAAGGUAAUCCUCACGGCUGUCCGUUCCAGAAAAGUAUUCGCCCCACUUGACAGCUGUGUUUACCAGCUAACAAGGCUGAAACUGGAUCCCCACCUCACUGAGGCAGGGCUGACUGAGCCACCCACUUGCCCACCUACCUGCCUGGGGCUGCAUAAAAUUAUCCCUAUCAGCUGCAGCUCCAAGUACUGGCUUUCAACCCACCAGCUUAAUGACCCUGGGGGGAAUUUGGGCAAUUUAGUCCCCUCCCCUGCAACUCCCUAUCUAGCUAGGGGGCUAUUAAACAAAUUCACUGAGCCUUUGGGCAAGGGGCUUAAUUCUUCUGGGCCUCAGUUUCCCCUAAGUCCUAAGUGAUUAGGGACCUAAAGCCAAUACUGCACGAACAACAGUAAAGGCUGAUGUGAGCUGCUGUUUUCUUCUCUCAUGUUCUCUCUGCUGCCUCCUCUCCAGGUAAGCUGUCUCCUUCAUGGUGCCCACUUCCUAGUGAACGCGGACUGAUGAACCAGCACUGCCCAGUGGAACUUUCUUUGGUGAAGGAAAUGUUCUAGAUCUGCACUGUCCAACAUAGUAGCCAUUAGCUGCAGGUGACCAGUGAACAUUUGAAAGCUGGCCAGUGCGACUAAGGAACUGACUGGACACAAGAGGCCUUCCACAAAUAUUUGUGAAGUAAAGGGGAGGCAAUGGAGGAAAAAAAUCACAUAAAGGAAUCUUUGUGACACAGCAGAAACGUGUUAAGCACCUGUCACCUCAGGCCUAGCCUGCAAGUGUCCUGAUAAAAACUGAUUUGAAUCACAGAAUCCAGCAGCAUGCUUGUCAAAACCCAGAGACUUGCCCUUUUAAGUCUAAGACCAGAUACUGAAAUCAUCACACACUCAGCCCAGUGUUUUGGAAGUACCAGAUAAGAUGAAUGCAAUUACAUGAUCGUGCAGAUGAAGUAAAAUAAUACAACUGCCUCCUCCUUUAUACUUGCCAGUAAGAUGACUUUGUACUGAGAAAAUUAGUGAGACUCUAACAAAACUGUUACAAAUAAUAAGAGAAUUUAGCAGCAUGACAGGUUCAUCUGCAACAACUACGCAAGACUGCAAGGGACGAUUAACCUGAGCAGAUUAACAGCAACUACAGUGAACUCCCAACAGCACUUGGAAGGCCUGACUAGCACAGUGAGGUGAGCAGAUCCCUCUGGACACCUGUGCCAAAACUCAACUGAGACCAGUUCUGCAUCAAGGAAUGUCUGAAUCCAAUCAAAUGUUAAGACACAUUCUAACAAGAUUUUCUCAAUGAAUCCUGACAAGCUGAUGGUGAGUGUUCAUUUGGUUGAGAACAGAUAAUAGGUGUGUUUUCUUUUUUUUAAAUGAGAGGAACUACCAUUUAUCCAAGUUUGUUGUAAAGUUACAGUAAGUACAGCAAUAUGGUGUUUACUCAGACACUGACAGAGACCAAGGGAGCAUAAGGGGCCAAGAAGGCCUGCACAUGGUGAUGACUAUGGGAAUUAAGUCUAUGAUAAAGAUGGCGUUUCCAAUAAUCAGAAGAACCAACUCAGAAAACGGUGUUGAAAAAACUUGUGCCCCACAUCAUAUACACAAGGAAACCCAGUUACAGGAAACAGCUAAAACCCCCCCACAAAAAUACCAGAAUUGACAAAAGUAUUUGUACAACCUGCCUAUGUAUGACAUGAAACCUAGAAUAGGAGUAAAGAGAUUUGAAAGAAAAAA
Long non-coding RNA from Balaenoptera ricei (Rice's whale), 2499 nucleotides. RefSeq lists it as uncharacterized. The transcript has 5 exons. Lineage: Eukaryota; Metazoa; Chordata; Mammalia; Artiodactyla; Balaenopteridae. The record is from RefSeq and is a predicted model, not a curated record.